ACUUAAAUAGUUUAUUGAAAAUUUUAAUUUGUGGAAUUAAAGAAGUGAAAUUAAUUCAUUUUAAGUA
RNAcentral lists this transfer RNA (67 nucleotides) under Lissorhoptrus oryzophilus (rice water weevil). RNAcentral describes it as "tRNA-His". The record is from RNAcentral. Lineage: Eukaryota; Metazoa; Arthropoda; Insecta; Coleoptera; Erirhinidae.